RNAcentral lists this unclassified non-coding RNA (286 nucleotides) under Hevea brasiliensis (rubber tree). Lineage: Eukaryota; Viridiplantae; Streptophyta; Magnoliopsida; Malpighiales; Euphorbiaceae. The record is from RNAcentral.
UCUUUUGGAUCGUCAAGUUUCCAGCAAGAUUCAUUUUAUUCUGGCUAUGAAACGACAAGUACAGCACCAUCUUCUGCCUAUCAUGGAUAUGAAACUAAGGGUACAGCUCCACCUGCAUCGAGUGCUGCGUAUGAGAAUCAGGUUUGCCCGAUCUGUUUGACAAAUCCCAAAGACAUGGCUUUUGGCUGUGGUCAUCAGACAUGCUGUGAGUGCGGACCAAGUCUCUCAACAUGCCCCAUCUGUCGCAGCGAAAUACAAACUAGAAUAAAGCUCUAUUGAGGAGUUG